UCCUCGGAAUCAAACGACUCUCGGCAAUGGAUAUCUCGGCUCUUGCAUCGAUGAAGAACGUAGUGAAAUGCGAUACUUGGUGUGAAUUGCAGAAUCUCGUGAACCAUUGAGUCUUUGAACGCAAGUUGUGCCCGAGGCCUUGUGGUCGAGGGCACGCCUGCUUGGGCGUCAUGG
RNAcentral lists this ribosomal RNA (174 nucleotides) under Larsenianthus arunachalensis. RNAcentral describes it as "5.8S ribosomal RNA". The stretch from base 16 to 171 matches the Rfam family "5.8S ribosomal RNA". Rfam says of the family: 5.8S ribosomal RNA (5.8S rRNA) is a component of the large subunit of the eukaryotic ribosome. It is transcribed by RNA polymerase I as part of the 45S precursor that also contains 18S and 28S rRNA. Functionally, it is thought that 5.8S rRNA may be involved in ribosome translocation. The record is from RNAcentral. Lineage: Eukaryota; Viridiplantae; Streptophyta; Magnoliopsida; Zingiberales; Zingiberaceae.